This 492-nucleotide ribosomal RNA is filed under the name uncultured bacterium. RNAcentral's name for it is "partial 16S ribosomal RNA". It matches the Rfam family "Bacterial small subunit ribosomal RNA", at positions 29 to 507 of the family's 1533-position model. The record is from RNAcentral.
AGUGAACGCUGGCGGUAGGCCUAACACAUGCAAGUCGAACGGCAGCACAGUAAGAGCUUGCUCUUACGGGUGGCGAGUGGCGGACGGGUGAGGAAUACAUCGGAAUCUACUUUUUCGUGGGGGAUAACGUAGGGAAACUUACGCUAAUACCGCAUACGACCUACGGGUGAAAGCAGGGGAUCUUCGGACCUUGCGCGUUUGAAUGAGCCGAUGUCGGAUUAGCUAGUUGGCGGGGUAAAGGCCCACCAAGGCGACGAUCCGUAGCUGGUCUGAGAGGAUGAUCAGCCACAUUGGAACUGAGACACGGUCCAGACUCCUACGGGAGGCAGCAGUGGGGAAUAUUGGACAAUGGGCGCAAGCCUGAUCCAGCCAUACCGCGUGGGUGAAGAAGGCCUUCGGGUUGUAAAGCCCUUUUGUUGGGAAAGAAAAGCAGCAGGUUAAUACCCCGCUGUUCUGACGGUACCCAAAGAAUAAGCACCGGCUAACUUCGUG